ACGCUGGCGGCAGGCCUAACACAUGCAAGCCGAGCGGUAGCACAGGAGAGCUUGCUCUCUGGGUGACGAGCGGCGGACGGGUGAGUAAUGUCUGGGAAACUGCCUGAUGGAGGGGGAUAACUACUGGAAACGGUAGCUAAUACCGCAUGACCCCGCAAGAGCAAAGUGGGGGACCUUCGGGCCUCACGCCAUCGGAUGUGCCCAGAUGGGAUUAGCUAGUAGGUGGGGUAAUGGCUCACCUAGGCGACGAUCCCUAGCUGGUCUGAGAGGAUGACCAGCCACACUGGAACUGAGACACGGUCCAGACUCCUACGGGAGGCAGCAGUGGGGAAUAUUGCACAAUGGGCGCAAGCCUGAUGCAGCCAUGCCGCGUGUGUGAAGAAGGCCUUAGGGUUGUAAAGCACUUUCAGCGAGGAGGAAGGCGUUGUAGUUAAUAGCUGCAGCGAUUGACGUUACUCGCAGAAGAAGCACCGGCUAACUCCGUGCCAGCAGCCGCGGUAAUACGGAGGGUGCAAGCGUUAAUCGGAAUUACUGGGCGUAAAGCGCACGCAGGCGGUUUGUUAAGUCAGAUGUGAAAUCCCCGAGCUUAACUUGGGAACUGCAUUUGAAACUGGCAAGCUAGAGUCUUGUAGAGGGGGGUAGAAUUCCAGGUGUAGCGGUGAAAUGCGUAGAGAUCUGGAGGAAUACCGGUGGCGAAGGCGGCCCCCUGGACAAAGACUGACGCUCAGGUGCGAAAGCGUGGGGAGCAAAC
This 751-nucleotide ribosomal RNA is filed under the name uncultured bacterium. Its description in RNAcentral is "bacterial SSU rRNA". It matches the Rfam family "Bacterial small subunit ribosomal RNA", at positions 33 to 773 of the family's 1533-position model. The record is from RNAcentral.